UCCCUAGUGGCUCAGAUGGUAAAGAAUCUGCCUGCAAUACAGGAGACCCAGGUUCAAUCCCUGGGUUGGGAA
This 72-nucleotide transfer RNA is filed under the name Bos taurus (domestic cattle). It matches the Rfam family "tRNA". From Rfam's summary of the family: Transfer RNA (tRNA) molecules are approximately 80 nucleotides in length. Their secondary structure includes four short double-helical elements and three loops (D, anti-codon, and T loops). Lineage: Eukaryota; Metazoa; Chordata; Mammalia; Artiodactyla; Bovidae. RNAcentral also lists the same sequence under 5 other names. The record is from Rfam by way of RNAcentral.